RNAcentral lists this unclassified non-coding RNA (240 nucleotides) under soil metagenome. RNAcentral describes it as "partial contains 5.8S ribosomal RNA, internal transcribed spacer 2, and large subunit ribosomal RNA". The record is from RNAcentral.
AACGGUCUAUACCUGCGGUACCUGCGGAGGGAUCAUUACCGAGUGCGGGCCCUCCGGGUCCAACCUCCCACCCGUGUCUACCGUACCUUGUUGCUUCGGCGGGCCCGCCGUCCUGGCCGCCGGGGGGCAUCGCGCCCCCGGGCCCGCGCCCGCCGAAGACCCCCUUUGAACGCUGUCUGAAGGUUGUCGUCUGAGUGCAUUACCGCAAUCGGUUAAAACUUUCAGCAACGGAUCUCUAGA